CAAUGCGGAAGCCGCUGUCAAACUUAUCGGUGACUUGCACGCUGGUCGCUUUGUUCACGGGAACUGUAUAGUUCUGCGCCCAAUGAUUCUGCCAGUACAACGGAAUGUAUGGAGGAUUGAUAUGGGGGUCCGUAGCGACAGUGUGCUUGUCUGAGAGCAAGUUUCUUCGCCCGUGAGCAGGCAGACUGUCUCCGUGCCUGCAAAUUGGGAUCCCAUGGGAGUGUAUCACGCUAUCGCGCUUAAAUGGUUUUCCACAGGAUCGCUGCCCUGAUAUGCUUAUUGCGCUGCCUAAUCCUCAUGAUAUACGGCUGAAGGGUUGCAAACUCAGUCACAGGUGGCCUAUCAUGUACAAGGUUGGCCAAUUCCCAGUUGUAUAUCGCAAGAUGGGGUGGACCUUUGCCCCCAGAAUACAGCAUUGUUCUCUCAUGUACAGGGCCUACCUGAAGGCUUGAACAUGAAUAUGGCUAAGAACGGCAACUCCGACGCACAAGGCGCUCAGCAAGAGCGACGACAUCGAAGCCGUACUCCUGUGUCGAGGUAUGGCAGAUGUGUGAGUCUACCUGACCAAACGUUGCUGCUUCUGACAGCAAAUUCGUCGGCCAACACUACGAAUUGGAUAAUCGCCCUUCGCAAAUUCCGUUGUUCUGAA
RNAcentral lists this long non-coding RNA (649 nucleotides) under Coccomyxa subellipsoidea. RNAcentral's name for it is "long non-coding RNA (CSUB_LNC000551)". The record is from RNAcentral. Lineage: Eukaryota; Viridiplantae; Chlorophyta; Trebouxiophyceae; Coccomyxaceae.